This 702-nucleotide ribosomal RNA is filed under the name uncultured Caulobacter sp. RNAcentral describes it as "bacterial SSU rRNA". It matches the Rfam family "Bacterial small subunit ribosomal RNA", at positions 100 to 838 of the family's 1533-position model. The record is from RNAcentral. Lineage: Bacteria; Pseudomonadati; Pseudomonadota; Alphaproteobacteria; Caulobacterales; Caulobacteraceae.
GGACGGGUGAGUAACGCGUGGGAACGUGCCCUUUGGUUCGGAACAACACAGGGAAACUUGUGCUAAUACCGGAUGUGCCCUUCGGGGGAAAGAUUUAUCGCCAUUGGAGCGGCCCGCGUUGGAUUAGGUAGUUGGUGGGGUAAUGGCCCACCAAGCCGACGAUCCAUAGCUGGUCUGAGAGGAUGAUCAGCCACACUGGGACUGAGACACGGCCCAGACUCCUACGGGAGGCAGCAGUGGGGAAUCUUGCGCAAUGGGCGAAAGCCUGACGCAGCCAUGCCGCGUGAAUGAUGAAGGUCUUAGGAUUGUAAAAUUCUUUCACCGGGGAAGAUAAUGACGGUACCCGGAGAAGAAGCCCCGGCUAACUUCGUGCCAGCAGCCGCGGUAAUACGAAGGGGGCUAGCGUUGCUCGGAAUUACUGGGCGUAAAGGGCGCGUAGGCGGACAGUUAAGUCAGAGGUGAAAGCCCAGGGCUCAACCUUGGAAUUGCCUUUGAUACUGGCUGUCUUGAGUUCGGGAGAGGUGAGUGGAAUGCCGAGUGUAGAGGUGAAAUUCGUAGAUAUUCGGCGGAACACCAGUGGCGAAGGCGACUCACUGGCCCGAUACUGACGCUGAGGCGCGAAAGCGUGGGGAGCAAACAGGAUUAGAUAACCUGGUAGUCCACGCUGUAAACGAUGAGUGCUAGUUGUCAGCAUGCAUGCAU